RNAcentral lists this long non-coding RNA (430 nucleotides) under Ananas comosus (pineapple). RNAcentral describes it as "long non-coding RNA (ACOM_LNC022734)". Lineage: Eukaryota; Viridiplantae; Streptophyta; Magnoliopsida; Poales; Bromeliaceae. The record is from RNAcentral.
ACAUUAACUGCAAUGUCUAGUAGGCAAUAAGGGCAUGUUUGGUUCAUGAGUGGAAUCGAAAUCGGAAAUGGUAUUGGAUUGUAUUGGAAUAGGAAAUUGAAUGACGAAUUAUCUAAAAAUGUUUAGUUUAUUAUUGAAAUGGAAAUCUGAAUGGACAUUUAGAAUUGUAAGAAGGGGUUUGGUAAAGAGAGAAGAGAGCGAUGAAGGGAGAGGAAGGAGGGUGUUUGUAAGAGAGAGUUUGGAAUGGUUUACUAGGAAUGGGUUAAUCCGGAAUUCAAAACUAGCUCGAGCCAUAAAUACAUUCGGCCAUUUCCAUUCUAGAGUGGAAUAAGAAUCGGAAUCCGAUUCUUGUAAAACAAACAACAACUAUUGAAAUCAAUAAAUCUCGUUCCGAUUCCAUAGUCUAAAAUAUGUAAACCAAACAAGUCCU